CAGUCACCGCCGCCGGGCGGGACUGGGCGUUUGCCGUGCAUCAUUAGGCCAUAGAAGAUGCACAGCAGGCGCGAUUUUUUUA
This 82-nucleotide non-coding RNA is filed under the name unclassified sequences. The record is from RNAcentral.